RNAcentral lists this transfer RNA (18 nucleotides) under Plasmodium reichenowi. Lineage: Eukaryota; Apicomplexa; Aconoidasida; Haemosporida; Plasmodiidae. The record is from RNAcentral.
AGCUAAUGGUGAGAUUUG